Long non-coding RNA from Lytechinus pictus (painted urchin), 4608 nucleotides. RefSeq lists it as uncharacterized. The record is from RefSeq and is a predicted model, not a curated record. NCBI's taxonomy places the organism in Eukaryota, Metazoa, Echinodermata, Echinoidea, Temnopleuroida, Toxopneustidae. The transcript has 3 exons.
GGCAGUUCGCAUGCGUAGCUUCUGAUAUACGAAUCGUCAUAUUAUAGAUCUACAAAUAGGUUUCUAAAAUAAAUCAGCGAAAUCAUCCCGUUCUCUGAACUUCAAAAUUCAGAGGUGCCCUUGACUGUCACUGGACUUGGUGAUUACGUAAUGAGCACUGAUGCGACACGGGCUCACAAAGGCGGGAAAUCUGAAUAACUCCCUCGGAAUAAUAGAAGUAUACCACUACCACUGGGUGAUACAUGAAUGGGCGAUAUUCAAAAACGUACAAUAGAAUGCCUUUCGGUUCAACAUGCGUGUAAGAAAUGUAGACGGAGAGUUCGAGAACGACAAUUAAUCUGUGUAGUCGGUGACUUCUUGAUUGUAAACAAGGGAAGAAAUUAAACUUGCGGAUAUCUAAUUGGUGUUGUUAAAAACUCUUCCAUUAAAAAGUAUAUUGAUCAAACGUUUGACGAGUACAGUGCAUUUUCGACAUGGAAGAUACAGCAACAUAAUGGACUAUGAAAUAGAUGAUAAUUGUCUUCAGCAUAUCAGAGCAUGGAACCUAUAGAAAUGAACAUUCCGAGAUGAGAAUCUCUACUUUCUCUGGCCUGUACGUCUAGAUCAUCCAUGUCGACCAAGCCCUUGAAGCCAGUCGUGACUCCCUCGAGCCCAUGAUACACUGGAGGGAGAAAGUGAUAUUCGAUGACGAUGAAGACGACGACUUCGACGACCACCACGACUCAGCGGUCAGCGAUGCAUCCGCAGUGGAUCGAGCAGGAUGUGGAUCACCGUGGGAGGUUAUGCACUCAUGGCGCGCAGGGCUUAGUUGGAUAAAAAUUCUAUUGUGGUAUUGUGGUAACAUUGUCAUUUACUGGUAGGGCUUGGAGGCUGGUGCUGAGACCCCCUCCUCCCCCCCCCCCAAAAAAAAAAAGAGAGAUUUUUUUUCUUAAAUUUGGCGAUUGUAUCGUCAUUUUUUCAGUAUAAUCUUAAUCGAGAUUUUUAUUAAGUGUUAGUCCGAUUUUGACUAUUUAUGCAUGUCAAAUCUUUAAAUGAUCUGUAUUUCUCAAUUUUCGAUUUUUUGUUCUCCAGAGAAUUUUUCAAAAUUGUGCACAAUGUAAAAAGUUCGACGUCCCCUGUGUUUUCCUCAUUAUUGAGAUCUGGAUUUUGAUUGGCUGCUGAGCCCUUUACCAAGGUAGCUGCCAAUUAGCAAAGGUACAAUAUCAUAGGUCAAAUGGGGGUCAAAUAGUAAAUAUUAUUCAAUGGGACCCUGAAACUUCAUUGGCUCAUCUUUUUUUUUUAUAAUCUUGUUCUCUUAUAACCUGGUAAAACAGUGUUAUUAGAAAAGGCAGCGCGAUGUUAGUUAUCAUCAACACACAAUAAUGUUCCACUAAUAUUUUUGAAGGAAGUGAUGUAUAUGAACUCAUUCUUGCAGUGCUUAUAUUAUGUUUCAAGGGAGGAAAACUCACGAAUGGCCCUUUUUCUCUAUUCAUAGAAAAUAUGAGAAUUCACUGGUAUCCCCGUUAAGCAAAGAAAUCCUUCCUACUUGCCUGGAACCCAUAUAUUGCGCUCACGAAAAAUGCUAAUAAAAGCAAAAUGCUUUUUUUACUGCCCAAAACUGUUCACGCUAAUAUACCAACUUAAAAGAGUUUGUUAUGUUAUAGGACCACUAAGUCAAACUUAACAUUUCAUAAGGAAAGACAACAUCACAUAAUGUUGUAUUUUCAUAUUUGCCAUAUUCUGUUUUAUGUACAAAAUAUCUAGAUCGGGAUUUACUUUUUACCAACCCCAACCCCACUCCUCCAGCCUCCAUACCCUAUAUUUGUAUUGAUAUGUAUGAUUAUACAUGGCAUUUUCUGUUUGUUUGUAAAUCAGGGUCAAGCUCUGCUAUGGCCUUUUAUAUAAUUUUCAAAGCUUGUAAUAAUUUCAUGCCUUUCAAGUGCCUUGUUACAGGAAGCAUGGAAAACUGUGAAUAUUCGGAAUUACAUUUUUUUUUAGGAAAAGAAGUCACUUAAAAAAGCACAAAUGAAAAAAUAAAAAAUAAUAAUAAAGAUUAAUUGAUAUGUAUUGAAAGAUCAAUGUAUAAUUAGACAUAAUCAUCCAUAUCACUUGUAAUUUACUUUAUAAAAAUUAUUAUCGUGAUGAAACACCGGAAGAAUACGGAUAACUUGACCAUAUAUUGUGGAAGUUAUGAUGUAAAUGUCUGGACUCAUGAUUAACAAAACUUUUCAAAAAGUUCUGCAACUCAAGUUUGAGGGAUGAUUUAUAUUUUGUUAUUCAACUAUCAAUCAUCUGAAACAUGUUCAAAAGAUGAAACCAAUAUCUCGAACCAGUUUUUCUUAACUCUUUACAAUGACGGGGUUCAACGUUAAUAUUAUUCCAAACACACUAAAUCCAUAUGGCGCACGUCAGUGCAUGUUAACAGUGUUCAAACAAAGAGUCCAUCCUCCAAACAAUGAGGAAUUCACUUCAAAGACAACUAAUUUUAUUUUGAUAAUGCUGCAUAUUUACAGGGAUUGCACAUCCCAUGAUAACAUGGGUGGAACAUCAUUGUAUAGAGGAAUAAUAAUACUUUCCAGUGAUACCAUAUUCACCUAAUGGAGCAAUAAGAGAUAACUCCCAACUUAAUUGCAGAACUUUUUGCGGGACUUUUUGAGGGGUCUAGAUAAUCCAAUAUAGCCCAGCACACCCCCACUACAUAUAAUCAUUUGUAUCGAAAUAUUGUUUAACGUUGAUGUUUGACAACACUCUACAGGCCCUAUUUACAAAUGAUGGGCAUGAUGAAAAUGAAAUUUCUGAUAUAUAUAUAUUCAGUAUGUUCAGAAGAACAACAGAGGUGCUCAGCCGUCAAUAUCUGCAUGUUAUUAUUUCUGCCGAAUUAAUUUGGCCUUGCAAACUUGUAUGAAAUCGUUAUUUGACAAGAAUAUUUCUGAUGGAAAGAACAUAAUGUCCCACAGUGUGUUCCACGGUGUGUUCACAGUGUGGAACAAAAAUGUGAAAUCUAUGAACACUGUUAAUUUUUUAUCAUUUUCGCAUUCUCACAAAGUUCAUGGUGUGAAACACUGUGCGACUCUGUUAAAUUGAGCAUCUUUAGAGUGUGAAUGACAUUUUCACAUAGUCCAUGAUGUGACUUGAACACACUGUCAACACUAUAUUCUUUCCAUUAGAUAUUGUAUUAAAUGAUAUCGUUUUCCCCGCUUUGUCUACUUCGUAUUUAUUAUAACAUUUUAAUGUUUGCUCCACUUUCUUCUCUUCCUUAUCUGACCCCGCCCCUUUAAAUGUUGUCAUCUUCUGUUAACACAUCCUGCCAAAGGUUGCGUAAAGCAUCCUCUCUUACCACACCCCUUUAUUCUCUUCCUUAUCUGACCCCGCCCCAUUAAAUGUUGUCAUCUUCUGUUAACACAUCCUGUCAAAGGUUGCGUAAAGCAUCCUCUCUUACCACACCCCUUUCUUCUCUUCCUUAUCUGACCCCGCCCCAUUAAAUGUUGUCAUCUUCUGUUAACCCAUCCUGCCAAAGGUUGCGUAAAGCAUCCUCUCUUACCACACCCCUUUCUUCUCUUCCUUAUCUGACCCCGCCCCAUUAAAUGUUGUCAUCUUCUGUUAACCCAUCCUGCCAAAGGUUGCGUAAAGCAUCCUCUCUUACCACACCCCUUUCUUCUCUUCCUUAUCUGACCCCGCCCCAUUAAAUGUUGUCAUCUUCUGUUAACCCAUCCUGCCAAAGGUUGCGUAAAGCAUCCUCUCUUACCACACCCCUUUCUUCUAUUUCUUAUCCGACCCCGCCCAUCAAAUGUUUUCAUCUUCUGUCAACCCACCUUGCCAAACGCUGCGUAAAGCACCCCGUUCCAUUGCCUCACCCUAUCUCAUCUACCAUCAUUUCUCACAAACACGCAUUUACACGCACCGACCCCUUCUUCACUUUAAUACGUUCAUCUGCAUUUAUUUUGCUCUCUCUAUUAUUCUUGGGGCAGGGGGAUGUGGGAGGGGGGGGGGGGCUCCUGAUAUAUUUUUUAUUUCACGUCCUAGUCUUUUUACUCCAGGCUACAGUAUAGAGAAUUUUACUAUUCCCUUAUCAAAAUAAUGUGCAUUACACUUCUCAAACACACUAGCUGUUCUUUUUUACGAAGUCGAUGAGUAGGGGGGGGGGUGUCGCAUUCAUUAUCUUUUUCAUCCAUUUGCCUUAUUAGAAUAAUAAAAAAAAAUGUUUUUAUGAUAUUUAAUAAUUCAAAAAAUUAUGUGUAUUAAACUUUCACAGAUGCAUUUUUUUCAUUGGGGGGGGGGGGGGGGGGGCUUUACAUUCGUUAUUAUUGGCAUCCAAGUGCAUUUCUAUUUAGACCAACCUUUUUUAUUCUAAUCUACUGCCUUAACCAUAAUUAACAUUUUCUUCCAUUCUUUACCCAUCUUCAUUUUUGUACACACAAUUUCCACUUAUUUUCUUUCAUGUUUUUUGCACCAAUCUACACACUAUAAUACAAUAAACUAUCCUACCACUACCCCCGCCCCUCCCACUCGUUCUUAUCUUGUGCGUCUCUCUCUCUCCCCUCUCAAUAUCUGGUUGUUCUUAACUACUCGUAAUGUUAAAUUUAUCAAUGAUGGUGUUAUCUUUCAAUAAAGAUGGGGUUUCCUUUUUUA